Molecule: ribosomal RNA, 198 nt
Filed under: uncultured bacterium
Lineage: Bacteria
Description: partial 16S ribosomal RNA
Rfam family: Bacterial small subunit ribosomal RNA
Source: RNAcentral
ACGCUCGACACCUACGGGAGGCAGCAGUGGGGAAUAUUGCACAAUGGGGGAAACCUUGAUGCAGCGACGCCGCGUGGAGGAAGAAGGUCUUCGGAUUGUAAACUCCUGUUGUUGGGGAAAAAGAGGAUGGUACCCAACAAGGAAGUGACGGCUAACUACGUGUCAGCAGCCGCGGUAAUCUGAGCGGGCUGGCAAGGC